This 355-nucleotide unclassified non-coding RNA is filed under the name Hevea brasiliensis (rubber tree). The record is from RNAcentral. Lineage: Eukaryota; Viridiplantae; Streptophyta; Magnoliopsida; Malpighiales; Euphorbiaceae.
UAACACUUUGACAAUGUAAUAAACAUAAGCAUAUAUGCAGCACAGAAGAUUUGUUUUCUAAGAUAACAUGAAUAUGUACACUUUAUCAGAAUGAAAGAGGAACCUGUUUUACUGCUUUCACACCCCAUUCUCUUCCAUCUUGCAACUCUUGUACAAAUGUUUAGCAUUCCCAUUGCAUCUAUCUGGUUGAAAUCUUAAAUCUAAAGCAUGAAAACAACAUAAUUUGGAGGUCAAGAAGGAGGAGGAGGUUGCCCUGAUAUAAGUCAUUGUGAGAGAGAUUCGAAUCAACAUGAAGCAUACUACCUUUUACUAGAUGAUGCUAACACUGGCCAGAAAAACAGAAAAUGGAGCACCU